Molecule: ribosomal RNA, 404 nt
Filed under: uncultured bacterium
Lineage: Bacteria
Description: bacterial SSU rRNA
Rfam family: Bacterial small subunit ribosomal RNA
Source: RNAcentral
UGGGGAAUAUUGGACAAUGGGGGAAACCCUGAUCCAGCCAUGCCGCGUGAGUGAAGAAGGCUUUAGGGUUGUAAAACUCUUUCGCCGGCAAAGAUGAUGACGGUAGCCGGAGAAGAAGCCCCGGCUAACUCCGUGCCAGCAGCCGCGGUAAUACGGAGGGGGCUAGCGUUGUUCGGAAUUACUGGGCGUAAAGCGCGCGUAGGCGGUGUAUCUAGUCAGAGGUGAAAGCCCUGGGCUCAACCCAGGAACUGCCUUUGAUACUGGUACGCUGGAGUACGGGAGAGGUGAGCGGAAUUCCCAGUGUAGAGGUGAAAUUCGUAGAUAUUGGGAAGAACACCAGUGGCGAAGGCGGCUCACUGGCCCGUUACUGACGCUGAGGCGCGAAAGCGUGGGGAGCGAACAGG